AGUCAAGUGAAUAAGUGCAUCAGGCGGAUGCCUUGGCGAUGAUAGGCGACGAAGGACGUGUAAGCCUGCGAAAAGCGCGGGGGAGCUGGCAAUAAAGCUAUGAUUCCGCGAUGUCCGAAUGGGGAAACCCACUGCAUUCUGUGCAGUAUCCUAAGUUGAAUACAUAGGCUUAGAGAAGCGAACCCGGAGAACUGAACCAUCUAAGUACCCGGAGGAAAAGAAAUCAACCGAGAUUCCGCAAGUAGUGGCGAGCGAACGCGGAGGAG
This 266-nucleotide ribosomal RNA is filed under the name Neisseria gonorrhoeae. RNAcentral describes it as "partial 23S ribosomal RNA". It matches the Rfam family "Bacterial large subunit ribosomal RNA", at positions 1 to 267 of the family's 2925-position model. Lineage: Bacteria; Pseudomonadati; Pseudomonadota; Betaproteobacteria; Neisseriales; Neisseriaceae. The record is from RNAcentral.